This 429-nucleotide ribosomal RNA is filed under the name Bacillota bacterium. RNAcentral describes it as "Firmicutes bacterium partial 16S ribosomal RNA". It matches the Rfam family "Bacterial small subunit ribosomal RNA", at positions 355 to 776 of the family's 1533-position model. Lineage: Bacteria; Bacillati; Bacillota. The record is from RNAcentral.
UGGGGAAUAUUGGACAAUGGGCGAAAGCCUGAUCCAGCGACGCCGCGUGUGUGAAGAAGGCCUGCGGGUUGUAAAGCACUUUCGAUGGGAACGAAAUGUGCCGGGCUAAUACCCCGGCAAGCUGACGUUACUCAAUGAAGAAGCACCGGCUAACUCUGUGCCAGCAGCCGCGGUAAUACAGAGGGUGCGAGCGUUAAUCGGAAUUACUGGGCGUAAAGCGCACGUAGGUGGCGACGUAAGUCGGGUGUGAAAGCCCCGGGCUCAACCUGGGAAUUGCAUUCGAGACUGCAUUGCUGGAGUACGGAAGAGGAAGGCGGAAUUCCCGGUGUAGCGGUGAAAUGCGUAGAUAUCGGGAGGAACAUCAGUGGCGAAGGCGGCCUUCUGGUCCAGUACUGACACUCAAGUGCGAAAGCGUGGGGAGCAAACAGG